CCUAAUCACAAUUUCCUGCCAAUUGAGUAUAAAUGGUAUUAUUUCAUAGCUUAUCAGAUUUUGCUGCCUUCCUCCUCAAAAGUCGAUGAAUUUACGCUACAAUAGGGAUUUGUGAAAGGGAAGUUGCAGCACAGAGUUGGCUACAGAACAGCACCACAGGAGCUGGCACUGAGAUCCAGUUUUCUUGCUGAAGGAUGACUUCGCAGGGUGUUUGCUGGCAAUUGGGCUUGAACCUCGGCUUUCUACUAGAAGAUGAUCUCAGGAAGGCGCUGUGUGAAAUACAAGUGAAGCAAAACUCAUGUGAGACUGACGUGGACGAUGAAGACGCGGGCGCCUGAGCAGCAGGUGGGAUUAGAGUCUUUAUAUAAAGGACUCCCUGGAAAGAAGAGAUCUUGUAUUUCCUGGCUAAAUAAAGGAUCAACAGAUAAAUAAAAAUAUGCUCCUCUGGAGUGUCUUUGUUUUUUGGUAAA
This is a long non-coding RNA of Myripristis murdjan (pinecone soldierfish), 470 nucleotides long. RefSeq lists it as uncharacterized. NCBI's taxonomy places the organism in Eukaryota, Metazoa, Chordata, Actinopteri, Holocentriformes, Holocentridae. The record is from RefSeq and is a predicted model, not a curated record. The transcript is spliced from 4 exons.